GGAUGUGAGGGCGAUCUGGCUGCGACAUCUGUCACCCCAUUGAUCGCUAGGGUCGAUUCGGCUGAUCUGGCUGGCUAGGCGGGUGUCCCCUCCCUCCCUCACCGCUCCAUGUGCGUCCCUCCCGAAGCUCUGCGCUCGGUGGAAGAGGACCGGCGUUCCCGGUGGAAGAGAAUCGUGCCGCGGUUCAAGGGUUUACGAGUAGCUGCGCUCCCCUGCUAGCACCUCCAAACAAGCUCAAGGCCCAUUUGUAGGAGAGACGUAGGGAAGUCGAGCUGCGAGACUUCACGACACAUCCCAGUGAGGCACUGCACGUGGCAGUCUGCCUUCGUUU
Unclassified non-coding RNA from Lepisosteus oculatus (spotted gar), 331 nucleotides. Its record names the gene 7SK. It matches the Rfam family "7SK RNA". Rfam says of the family: 7SK was discovered as an abundant small nuclear RNA in the mid-70s but a possible function has only recently been suggested. The record is from Ensembl. NCBI's taxonomy places the organism in Eukaryota, Metazoa, Chordata, Actinopteri, Semionotiformes, Lepisosteidae.